CCACUCCAUUCAGUAUCCUGAGUACGGCGGAACACGAGAAACUCCGUCGGAAUCCGGGAGGACCAUCUCCCAAGGCUAAAUACUCCCUAGUGACCGAUAGUGAACCAGUACCGUGAGGGAAAGGUGAAAAGUACCCCGGAAGGGGAGUGAAAUAGAUCCUGAAACCGUGUGCCUACAAGUAGUCAGAGCCCGUUAAUGGGUGAUGGCGUGCCUUUUGUAGAAUGAACCGGCGAGUUACGUUAACAUGCAAGGUUAAGAUGAAAAGUCGGAGCCGUAGCGAAAGCGAGUCUGAAUAGGGCGCCCUAGUAUGUUGAUGUAGACCCGAAACCAAGUGACCUACCCAUGACCAGGUUGAAGAUGUGGUAAAACGCAUUGGAGGACCGAACUCGUGUAUGUUGAAAAAUGCUGAGAUGAGUUGUGGGUAGCGGUGAAAUUCCAAACGAACUUGGAGAUAGCUGGUUCUCUCCGAAAUAGCUUUAGGGUUAGCCUCGGGGAUUAGGAUCGUGGAGGUAGAGCACUGUUUGGACUAGGGGCCCGUCUUGGGUUACUGAAUUCAGAUAAACUCCGAAUACCAUUGAUCUAUACCCGGGAGUCAGACGAUGAGUGAUAAGAUCCACCGUCGAAAGGGAAACAGCCCAGAUCACCAGUUAAGGUCCCAAAAUUCAUGCUAAGUGGAAAAGGAUGUGGAAACGCAUAGACAACUAGGAUGUUGGCUUAGAAGCAGCCAUUCAUUCAAAGAGUGCGUAAUAGCUCACUAGUCGAGUGAUUCUGCGCCGAAAAUGUACCGGGGCUAAGCAUGAUACCGAAACUGUGGAUGCAUCGUAAGAUGCGUGGUAGGAGAGCGUUGUAAGAGCAUUGAAGCUGUACCGUGAGGAGCAGUGGAGUUCUUAGAAGUGAGAAUGCCGGUAUGAGUAACGAAAGACCAGUGAGAAUCUGGUCGGCCGCAAGACUAAGGUUUCCUGGGGAAGGCUCGUCCUCCCAGGGUUAGUCGGGGCCUAAGAUGAGACCGAAAGGUGUAAUCGAUGGAUAACAGGUUGAUAUUCCUGUACUAGUUUAUUUUGUUUGAACGAUGGAAGGACGCAGGAGGAUGAUGUGUGCACGCUGAUGGAUAUGCGUGUCCAAGCAGUUAGUCUUGAGUUGAGUCAAAUGCUUAACUCUUUAACGAUAAGCUGUGAUGGGGAGUGAAAUUUUAGUAGCGAAGCACAGUAACUCACACUGCCAAGAAAAGUUCCUAGUUAGAAAUAAACUACCCGUACCGCAAACCGACACAGGUAGUCGAGGAGAGUAUCCUAAGGUCAGCGAGUGAACUCUCGUUAAGGAACUCGGCAAAAUGACCCCGUAACUUCGGGAGAAGGGGUGCUGGUGUAACAGCCAGCCGCAGUGAAUAGGCCCAAACAACUGUUUAUCAAAAACACAGGUCUAUGCUAAAUCGUAAGAUGACGUAUAUGGGCUGACGCCUGCCCGGUGCUGGAAGGUUAAGAGGAUCAGUUAGCUUUUGCGAAGCUGAGAAUUGAAGCCCCAGUAAACGGCGGCCGUAACUAUAACGGUCCUAAGGUAGCGAAAUUCCUUGUCGGGUAAGUUCCGACCCGCACGAAAGGCGUAAUGAUUUGGGCACUGUCUCAACGAGAGACUCGGUGAAAUUAUAAUACCCGUGAAGAUGCGGGUUACCCGCGACAGGACGGAAAGACCCCAUGGAGCUUUACUGUAGCUUGAUAUUGAGUUUUUGUGUGACAUGUACAGGAUAGGUAGGAGCCGUUGAUAUCGGAACGCUAGUUUCGAUGGAGGCAUUGGUGGGAUACUACCCUUGUUAUAUGAAAACUCUAACCUACAUCGUUUAUCGCGAUGAGGGACAGUGUCUGGUGGGCAGUUUGACUGGGGCGGUCGCCUCCUAAAAUGUAACGGAGGCGCUCAAAGGUUCGCUCAGAAUGGUUGGAAAUCAUUCGUAGAAUGUAAAGGCAUAAGCGAGCUUGACUGCGAGACUGACAAGUCGAGCAGGGACGAAAGUCGGACUUAGUGAUCCGGUGGU
RNAcentral lists this ribosomal RNA (2026 nucleotides) under Companilactobacillus suantsaicola. RNAcentral describes it as "bacterium BCRC 81127 partial 23S ribosomal RNA". It matches the Rfam family "Bacterial large subunit ribosomal RNA", at positions 391 to 2427 of the family's 2925-position model. Lineage: Bacteria; Bacillati; Bacillota; Bacilli; Lactobacillales; Lactobacillaceae. The record is from RNAcentral.